GGAGAGGUGCUCGAGUGGUUGAAGAGGUACGCCUGGAAAGCGUAUAUAGGCUGUAAGGUCUAUCAGGGGUUCGAAUCCCCUCCUCUCCGCCA
Molecule: transfer RNA, 92 nt
Filed under: Meiothermus granaticius NBRC 107808
Lineage: Bacteria; Thermotogati; Deinococcota; Deinococci; Thermales; Thermaceae
Also listed under: 1 other name
Description: tRNA-Ser
Rfam family: tRNA
About the family: Transfer RNA (tRNA) molecules are approximately 80 nucleotides in length.
Source: RNAcentral